UACGUAGGGGGCUAGCAUUGUCCGGAAUCAUUGGGCGUAAAGCGCGUGUAGGCGGUCCGGUAAGUCCGCUGUGAAAGUCGGGGGCUCAACCCUCGAAUGCCGGUGGAUACUGUCGGGCUAGAGUGCGGAAGAGGCGAGUGGAAUUCCUGGUGUAGCGGUGAAAUGCGCAGAUAUCAGGAGGAACACCUAUUGCGAAGGCAGCUCGCUGGGACGUAACUGACGCUGAGACGCGAAAGCGUGGGGAGCAAACAGG
RNAcentral lists this ribosomal RNA (253 nucleotides) under uncultured bacterium. RNAcentral's name for it is "partial 16S ribosomal RNA". It matches the Rfam family "Bacterial small subunit ribosomal RNA", at positions 524 to 776 of the family's 1533-position model. The record is from RNAcentral.